CUCAGAUUGAACGCUGGCGGCAUGCCUUACACAUGCAAGUCGAACGGCAGCGCGGGAGCAAUCCUGGCGGCGAGUGGCGAACGGGUGAGUAAUACAUCGGAACGUGCCCAAUCGUGGGGGAUAACGCAGCGAAAGCUGUGCUAAUACCGCAUACGAUCUACGGAUGAAAGCAGGGGAUCGCAAGACCUUGCGCGAAUGGAGCGGCCGAUGGCAGAUUAGGUAGUUGGUGAGGUAAAGGCUCACCAAGCCUUCGAUCUGUAGCUGGUCUGAGAGGACGACCAGCCACACUGGGACUGAGACACGGCCCAGACUCCUACGGGAGGCAGCAGUGGGGAAUUUUGGACAAUGGGCGCAAGCCUGAUCCAGCCAUGCCGCGUGCAGGAUGAAGGCCUUCGGGUUGUAAACUGCUUUUGUACGGAACGAAACGGCCUUUUCUAAUAAAGAAGGCUAAUGACGGUACCGUAAGAAUAAGCACCGGCUAACUACGUGCCAGCAGCCGCGGUAAUACGUAGGGUGCAAGCGUUAAUCGGAAUUACUGGGCGUAAAGCGUGCGCAGGCGGUUAUGUAAGACAGUUGU
This 577-nucleotide ribosomal RNA is filed under the name bacterium enrichment culture. RNAcentral describes it as "bacterial SSU rRNA". It matches the Rfam family "Bacterial small subunit ribosomal RNA", at positions 23 to 595 of the family's 1533-position model. The record is from RNAcentral.